This is a small nuclear RNA of Choloepus hoffmanni (Hoffmann's two-fingered sloth), 103 nucleotides long. The record is from Ensembl. NCBI's taxonomy places the organism in Eukaryota, Metazoa, Chordata, Mammalia, Pilosa, Megalonychidae.
GUGCUUGCUUUGGUGGCACAAGUACUAAAAUUGGAAUAAUACAGAGAUUAGCAUGGCCUCUGUUCAACAUGACAUGAAAAUUAAUGAAGCAUUCCAUGUAUAA